UACGGGGGGGGCAAGCGUUGUUCGGAAUUACUGGGCGUAAAGGGCUCGUAGGCGGCCAACUAAGUCAGACGUGAAAUCCCCAGGCUUAACUUGGGAACUGCGUCUGAUACUGGAGGGCUUGAGUGCGGGAGAGGGAUGUGGAAUUCCAGGUGUAGCGGUGAAAUGCGUAGAUAUCUGGAGGAACACCGGUGGCGAAGGCGGCAUCCUGGACCGACACUGACGCUGAGGCGCGAAAGCUAGGGGAGCAAACGGG
This 253-nucleotide ribosomal RNA is filed under the name uncultured bacterium. RNAcentral describes it as "partial 16S ribosomal RNA". It matches the Rfam family "Bacterial small subunit ribosomal RNA", at positions 524 to 776 of the family's 1533-position model. The record is from RNAcentral.